UACGGGGGGGGCAAGCGUUGUUCGGAAUUACUGGGCGUAAAGGGCUCGUAGGUGGCCAAUUAAGUCAGACGUGAAAUCCCCAGGCUUAACCUGGGAACUGCGCUUGUUACUGGCAGGCUGGAGUGUGGCAGAGGGGGGUGGAAUUCCACGUGUAGCAGUGAAAUGCGUAGAGAUGUGGAGGAACACCGAUGGCGAAGGCAGCCCCCUGGGCUAACACUGACGCUCAUGCACGAAAGCGUGGGGAGCAAACAGG
RNAcentral lists this ribosomal RNA (253 nucleotides) under uncultured bacterium. Its description in RNAcentral is "partial 16S ribosomal RNA". It matches the Rfam family "Bacterial small subunit ribosomal RNA", at positions 524 to 776 of the family's 1533-position model. The record is from RNAcentral.